This is a long non-coding RNA of Grus americana (Whooping crane), 1245 nucleotides long. RefSeq lists it as uncharacterized. The transcript has 3 exons. The record is from RefSeq and is a predicted model, not a curated record. Lineage: Eukaryota; Metazoa; Chordata; Aves; Gruiformes; Gruidae.
GGAUUUUUCCCAGCGGAUGCCAGAAUGGCUGAAGAUUUUAGCAUUUCAAUAUACAUCGCCUCCUCUGAAUUUCCCAUCCAAUUCAGCACACCGCUUCUGCAGGUACUGACGAGCAUCGCCAAGCAGAAUUUGCUGCAUUUCACUAUGGAAUAAUUGCUGAACAAAUCCAUAAACAUAAUGACAACUGGAUGAUCCCAUGAGCUCGUUCUUUCCCAGUACACGCACAUCUUAAGAAGUUGGAUCUUUUUUCCAUAUCUGGUCUUGGGGAAGUCGCUGACUUAAUAUAAAAGUGCCCAGCUGCAGAGCAGUUUCGAACCUGCCCAGUGCUGCUGUGAGGGACCACGGGGCACGCGGCUGGGCAGGAAAUGGGAAUGGAGAUCCGAUCUGUUGCAGCAAGGCUGACCUGCUGCCCCUGCUCCUUUUUUCUUUCCUCUGAGGCAUCCUUUGGAUCUAAAGGCAAUUCUAUCACGGCAGCACAUGGUUCUUCCUCUCAGGAUGCUUUAUGCACAAGCUGAACGUGAAGCUGGAAUUGGUGGAUGCAGUUUUUCCUGGCCUGCAGAGCGAGCCGGUUUGACAGAAGCACUAGCAAGGCAGAACAAGUACAGAGACACUGUGUGAUCGUAAUCACUCCUAAAGCCCACCUCCCUGAUGCUUCUGAGCUGGAUCUCGACAGAAGCAAGUAAGCAAGGGUUUCUCUCUCAACUUGGUCCUGUAAUCCCCACCCUCUCCUUUCUCUACCCCCUCCCCAAAAUCCCCAGGAAAGCAGUGAAAUCCGAUAGGCAGCAAAAUCAAAGCUCUGUCCUGUUACCAGGUUUCCCACCACUAAAUCUGCGAGGGACUUGGGGACAUUCUCUAUGACUGAACAAGUGACUGCUCUGUCCUGGGGGUAUAAAUCUAAUGCAAGCUUGUCAGCAUAAGCCUUGUAUAUUUAUGGGAAGCUUUCAGAGGAACUGCACGGGAUCAGAGUUUCUGUUCAGCUCCAAGACACAGCAUCCCCCGGCUUGCCUGCGAACGGAGAGGCAUGUCCCAGGCACACGCCGCUGCCUCGCUGCCGAGCCCUGAAGAGCAGUGAUGUAUUUGUACUGAUUUGUCGCUUCUGGAGCCGGUGUAAGAGACCUGGAGUGGGAGCAUGAAGGAUGGAAGUGACACCCAGGGUAAGGGCAAGGAACAUUCACGCUAUAUUUAGGGCAGAAGCAGAUAGUGGUAACAAUUGCAAGGAUCAUAUAUAAUGCAGUAAAACUGUCU